This 13206-nucleotide long non-coding RNA is filed under the name Homo sapiens (human). RNAcentral describes it as "non-protein coding lnc-FGFR1OP-2:8". Lineage: Eukaryota; Metazoa; Chordata; Mammalia; Primates; Hominidae. The record is from RNAcentral.
AGGCGGUUGCUAGGCUCCAGCGGCUCCCGGCCAGCGGGGACGUGGAGGUGACAUUUCUCUGACCCACAGGACUGUGGGCGCCCUGCCGAGCGUCGCGCGGUCUUGGGGCGACCUGCAGUGGGGCCCCUGCGGCGCAGCGCGCGGUGGGACUGGCCGGGUUCCCGCGCCGCCCAGGGCCUGUGUCUGCGCCGGUUCCUGGCAAGGGCACCUUGGCCGGGCGGCCCGCGUCCCCUGCGCUUCCCACACCCACGUGGGCGGACCCGGCCCGCAAGCUGGGCCAGCCUGCGGUUUCCGGGCACUGGGGAGUGCGCAGAGCCCCGGGCCAGCGACCGCAGCCGGGGCCCCUGGCUUCUCCCGAGCACUUUCCCCCGGACCGGUCCCUCCAGGGUGGCGGGCGGCACCCAGGGCCGGCGCUCCUCACCAACGCGCUGCAGCUACGGGCUCAGGAGGGAGCCGCAGCGUCGGAGGAGGAAAGCAUUUAAGAAUAGCACAAAGCCUUAGGCUCGAGGAAGCGUGACUGCUUACGUGUUGAAAAUAAAGGUUCUGUAAGUCCCACCGCGGGUGCAUAUUGAAAAGAAAGGGAUCAUUAGCACGCGACCCUCGCCUAGGAGUAUAUAAACCGCAGCACGACUUUCGGAUCACAAAGGCAGAGAAAAGAACACAUUGAAGGCUUUUGCUCACUUUUCCAAGUUGUUUCGUUUCGUUUUGUUUCUAAUGUGGACGAUCAUUUAAAAUGCCUCUGGUGGCCGGGCGCGGUGACUGACGCCUGUAAUCACAGCACUUUGGGAGGCCGAGGCGGGCGGAUCACCUGAGGUCAGGAAUUCGAGACCAGCCUGGGCAAUACGGUUAAACCCCCUCUCUACUAAAAAUAAAAAAAUUAGCUGGGCGUGGUGGCAUGUGCUUGUAGUCCCAGCUACUUGGGAGGCUGAGACAGAAGAAUCGCUUGAACCCGGGAGGCGGAAGUUGCAAUGAGCCAAGAUUGCGCCAUUGCAUUCCAGCCUGGGCAACAGAGCAAGACCCUGUCUCCAAAAAAAACAAAUAAAUAUAACAAAAUUCCUCUGGUAGCCGGGUGCGGUGGCUCACGCCUGUAAUCUCAGCACUUUGGGAGGCUGAGGCAGGUGGAUCACUUGAAGUCAAGAGUUUGAGACCAGCCUGGCCAAUAUAGUGAAACCUCAUCUCUACUGAAAAUACAAAAAUUAGCCAGGCGUGGUGAUGCGCUCCUGUGAUCCCAGCUACUCGGGAGGCUGAGGCGUGAGAAUCGGUUGAACCCGGGAGGUGGAGGUUGUAGUGAUCCGAGAUUGUGCCAUUGCACUCCAGCCUGGGCAACAGAGGGAGAUCCUGUCUCUAAAAUAAAAAAUAAAAGAAAUGCCUUUGGUGAACAGGAAUUCUCAACAUUAGUGACCCGCAGUGUAUUAGUGUUAAUAAUGGACAUCCCCUUUGAUCCAGCAAGCCCAUCUAGAGAUUUCCUAGGAUAGACAAGCCAGUUUGUGCAAUUUCAUGUGUACAGCAUUGUUUUUAGUAUGGAAAGAUUAGAGUUUACAUAUCUACCCAUAGGGAGAGAGUUAAAUAAAUUAUGGUGCAUCCGUUUAGUGGAUUAGUAUACAGCCAUUAGGAAUAAAGGAAUUCUUUAUGUGCUGAUAUGAAAUAUCUUUUUUAUUUUCAAGAAAAAAACCCAGGUUCUGAAUAGUGUAUAAAGUAUGCUACUCAUUGUGCAUAGGGACAAAGAAAAUAUAUACAUUCAUGUUUGCAAAGAUACUGGAGAAAUGUUAGUAGUGGCUGCCUCUAAGGAUGACCAAGAGUGACACUGACUUUUCAUUGUAUCUUCCUUUGUUCUUUUUGAAAUUUGUACAGUCUACUUAUGCUAUCUAUUCAAAAUAAGUGGUGUUAAGAAGAAAUGCCUUUGAGAAUGAAAAUGGUAAGCCCUUGAUUGAGUGGGGUUCAUUUUCUGUUAGGAUCGUGGUCUCUAUUGGUCACAGCUGACCUUGAUCGUCACUGAAAGUGUAUCUCAUUACACAAUAUUGCAGUCUUGAACACCAGGAAGGUUGUUCUGUUCCACAUGAACAUGCUUCAUGAUGGGGUUAGGAAUGUACAACCUGUGAAAAGUGAGGGAGUCUUGAUUAUUAAUAAUAAUAUUAUUAAUAGCUACCUUUUCUUGAUCAUUAGGCACUAUUUGUACAUUAUUUCUCCUUCUCACAUCAACCCAGAAGGUAGGUAUAAGGAAACUGAGUGGCUUCUUGAAUGAAGCCAAACUGCUCUGCAAGAUUGGUGGAAAAGGAGACUCUCCAUGUGCUAACAGGUUCCUGGAUCUCAUAGCUGCUCUGUCUUAGCCCUUAAUAUGUUUCUUUUCCUCAUGGAUGGUGGUUCUGAAACCUGAGCUGUCAGAAGAAUCCUUGGCAGAUUCCUAGAUCCCAGCCUCAGACUCAGAAGGUCUGGAGUUGGGGCUGAAAGCUGCGUGGCUAAUGGGCACUGCAGGUGACUCUGAGGCUGCUGGUCAGUGUCUAGCACUUGGAGAAACUCUACUGAGGGCACCUGCCCCUAAUGCACUGUUGCCACCACUGGGCUGGGGUCAAGAGGCUUUACUUCCCACAUUUGGGCCUCAAUUGGGACCUCUGAGCUUUCCACUAGUUUCCGUUCCAUGAAGGAGUACAAAUUGGAGUAUGUAAAGACAAAAGACAUACGUAAGUGGAUAAUUUGGGUUUGAACUAAGUUCUCUGCGACUCUCAAAGCCAUACUUCCCCCAUGUUGCCACAAAAAGUAUUUGUUUCAUGUUGCCAUGUAUCUCUUACUUCAAAUAUGAAGCAGGAAUGUGAUCUAAAGCAUAAGAACAUAGCAAUAGAUAGACCCAUGUACAUGAUUUCGUAAAACUUUAGAAAGGCCAGUCCUACAUGGUUUGUCCAUAUUUGGACGGUGUGUGGAAUGCACAAAUGAAAGCAUCACUGGCUAUUCUGAACCCCAGGUUUGUGGAAGUGAGUGUAAAGGCCCAGCAGUGAGCCCCAAUCUCACCUGCCCAUCAAAGUUCAGAAACGACAAUCAGAAUAGGCCGCACUUGGCGCUUCCCUGUAGACACAGGAUCUGUGAGUUUGGACAGAUUUCUGGUCAGUUUGGAAGGAAGCUGGCCUCUGUUAACAGAGCACCCCUUAUGGGUCAGUGUUGUGCAGGCAGUCCACAUACACUGUGUGUAUGCGAUGACAGUGCGUCUGCUUGUAGAAGGGGCUGGGUCCCCUCUGCAGAGCCUCCGCAUGGGGCUGCAUGACUGGUUCCGGCCGACUUGCUGGGGAGCGCACAGCCUGUCCACAAAGGGAAUCUUCAUCCUUCCUGAUCUGUAGAGCCAUUUGCAAUGCGUGAUGGCAACUGCUUAACUUCAGUUUUCGUCCCUGGGCCAGAGAUUUCUGUGCCCUGGGAUAAUAAACGUAUUAUCUAAAGAGCUUUUAUUUCUUUCUAGAGAAUAAGGAAAAUGAUACUCUGCAGAAUUUCUAUUUCUUUUGUAAUUAUCUCAGGGGAAGGUAGUUAUUAAGUGUUCACUGAUUAGGAUUAAUGUUUCCAAUUUUUGUCAAGAACAGAAUGUAUGUAUUACUAAUUUAACCAUAAUUUCAAUCAAAACUGUGUCAUUAAAAAUGUUGGCAGUCAUGCAUUUCCUGCAUGGUUAUGAAUUUUUUCAUGUAUCUAUAGUAUUUUUCUAACAGUCUAAUUUUAAUUCAUUCACUUUCUCACGAAAAUGUAUUUUUUUUCCAUUUCAGCAUGUAGUACUUGUGUUACCUUUUCACGAGGCCCACACUCCUCCAAGGAGGCUGCUGAUUGUCUCUAAACUGAUUACCUCCAUUUGUUCUUUCCUUGAUCUUACAGUGUCCAUCAGCUUCCUAUGAUUGAAGAAAAGCUUCCACUUGUAAUAAACCAACUUCUCUCAUCCAGUUAUCAACAUAGACCAAAAAAAAAAAGAAAAAAAAAAGGCCAGGCGCAGUGGCUCAUGCCUGUAAUCCCAGCACUUUGGGAGGUCAAGGUGGGCAGAUCACUUGAAGUCAGGAGUUCAAGACCAGUCUGGCCAACAUGGUGAAACCCUGUCUCUACUAAAAAUACAGAAAUUAGCCGGGAAUUGGUGGUGCGCACCUAUAGUUCCAGCUACUCAGGAGGCUGAGGCAGGUGAAUCGCUUGAAUCCAGGAGGCGGAGGUUGCAUUGAGAGGAGAUCAUGCCACUGCACUGGGCGGCAGAGCAAAACUCUGUCUCAAGAAGAAAAAGAAAAAAGAAAAAAGCGGAGUCGUUCUGUGAGUGAAAACACUGAAUUCCACCGGUUCCUGAUCAUAUUGCCUUUAUUUCAUUCAUUCAUUCAUUCUGGAAAUGGGGAUAAAUAGCCCGUUUGUCUUUCCUGCAGGUUUGUUACGAUGGUGAAGGCAAUUUAGAAGGAACUAUUUAGUGGAGGAUAAAAGUGUUUUGUAAAUGUUAAGAUGCAUUGUUUUGUUUCUGUCCUGUUGCCCAAUUUUCUCUCAGCCCAACACCUGCCUCUAUUUGGUUCUUAGGUUACACAUUAAUUCCAUUUGCUUAGUAAUUUAAAGAAUGUACUGUAGUACACCAAUAAGCUAACAAACUCGGGCCCUUGACCCCAAGUCACCAGUGUCACCUAGAUUCAAAAACCAAUAUAACGAGUCAAGUAUGAAUGCACAAUAUUUUAGCUAAGCCCUUCCUGUCCCACCUCUAAUGAAUCCACAUGCUGCCCCAGGGCUUGGUACAUGCUGUUAAGUAAGCAGCUUUGCUCCCUCCUGCUCCCUGUUUUUGUCUUAGGUUGGUUUCAGUCCUUCCACUGUGGAUGGAGAAGUCACAAAGAAAUGGUUUUGCAGGCAAGGAAUCUUUACUCUGUUUAGCAACUCAGUAACUUGCUAGCAAAUAAAUGGCAAAGGGUCAAAGGAAGUGGAAACAUCACUAUUUUGCAAUCCCUAUUGAAAUGAGGGAUUCAAGCAGCAAUCAUCAAUAGAAGCCAAAAUCCUCCUUUGACGGGAACUGGAUAAUCCCAAGUGCUGGACUGUCGCCCACAGAUUCUCCGCUGCUGGUCAUGAGGGGAAAAGUGCUCAACAUACUAUACAGGCAGCUUACCCAACCCCUCUGUCCCCAGGAGCUGGGAGCAGGGAGAAAUAGUGAGGAGGUUUUCAUGGUCAAAUGUAUUUAGGAGACUUAUUUGAAUCAGGCAAUUACUUAAUUUCUGCAGCUCUUCUGAGAGCCUUUACUAAGCUAUGUGAAUUGUGAUACCGCAAGAGGAACUCUCACCAUGUAGCAUUUCCCAAAUUUUUAUUGAGACAGAGUCUCACUCUGUCACCCAGGAUGGAGUGCAAUAGCGUGAUCUCAGCUCACUGCAAUCUGCUUCCCAGGUUCAAGUGAUUGUCAUGCCUCAGCCUCCCAAGUAGCUGGGAUUACAGGCCUGUGCCACUAUGCUCAGCUACUUUUUGUAUUUUUAGUAGAGACAGGGUUUCACCAUGUUGGCUGGUCUGGUCUCGAACUCCUGGUCUCAAGUGAUCCACCUGUCUCGGCUUCCCAAAGUGCUGGGAUUAGAGACGUGAGCCACUGCGCCUGGUCCUCCCAAACUUCUUUGAACAUAGAGCCCGUUUGGAAGGUGGAUUUGUGGGACUAAGCCUCCCAGGGGCUCCGGUGGCUGUACGCCCUGAUGGCUGUGCACCCCGACCGCUGUGCACCACGACAGCUUCCAUGCCUUCCAAGCUGGGGGGUGCCAUGGGAGGGCUCAGAGCCUCACCCCAGGCUGGAUGAGCUCGACUGCUUUGUAGCUGCCUGUAUGUGGCAAGUAACUAACACUCCCUAGGCCUCAAUUUUUUAAUCUAUAAAAUGAAAGCAGUAAAUGUCACAUCAUAUAAGUUGUUGAGUAUUUAUGAGAAUUAAAAGGAAUAAUCGCCAUAAAAGGCCUGAUACUGCCAAUCAUAUAUUGGACAAAUAUGAAUUUCCCUUUUUCCCUUUAUUCUACUUUAUGGCAACUCCUACCUACUAUUCUCUUUCUUUUGCUACUAAGCAGACAUAUGGGUUUGUUUGUUUGUUUUAUCAGGGAGAGGUUCUAAAUGUUGUACCCUUUAACCCUCAAAGCAUUAUCUAUUCUCUUAGAGGGUAAAGGGCAGAGAUGUUAUCCCUAUUGGUUUCUAACCUUGGAGAAGGUCAGAAACGUCAUGAGCUCUCUCUAGAUCCUCUUAUCUGCUUCUCUUACACAAUCGUUUGGUUCUGUGUGUGGUGAAAACUGAAUUGGGGGAAAAUCAGAUCGGCAGAAACCAAAUGUUGAACCAACUGGUGAAUAGAGAAAUACAGAUUAAGUAUCCCUACAAUGGAAUAUUAUUCAGCAAUAGAAAGAAAUGAAGUAUGGACCCAUGCAUGGAAGGAUGCAGGGGUGUUUCCUACAGCAUAGAAGGACCUUGAAAACACAGGGCUAAGUGAGAGGAGCCGGACAGGAAGGAUCAUGUAUUGUGUGGUCUGCUCAUGUAUGAUCUGCUCACAUAUUGUAUGAUCUGCUUACAUGAAAUGCCCAAGGUAGGCAAAUCCAGAGUCAGGAAAUAGGUCGGUGGUUGCCAGGGACAGGGACUUUUGGGGGAAAAUAGAGAGUGGCUGUUAACAGGGACCUGCUUUCUUCUAGGGUGAUGAAAAUGGUCUAACAUUGAUUGUAGUGAGGGUUGUGCAGCUCUGUGAAUAUGCUAAAGAACCAUCGAAUUGGACACUUUAAAUGGGUGCAAAUUAUAUUCCAAUAAACUAUCUGUAGAAACUUAAGAGUUUAUUAUUAUUAUUAUUUUGAGACGGAGUCUUGGUCUGUCGCCCAGGCCGGAGUGCAGUGGCGUGAUCUCAGCUAACUGCAACCUCCGCCUCCUGGGUUCAAGCGAUUCUCCUGCCUCAGCCUCCUGAGUAGCUAGGACUACAGGUGCAUGCAACCAUGCCCGGCUAAUUUUUUUUUUUUUUUGUAUUUUUAGUAGAGGCGGGGUUUCACCGUGUUAGCCACGAUGGUCUCAAUCUCCUGACCUUGUGAUCCGCCUGCCUCGGCCUCAGAAAGUGCUGGGAUUACAGGCUUGCGCCACCACGCCCGGCCCAAAACUUAACAGUUUUAAAAAACCUUUAAAAAGAUACAUAGAAAGAGAGCAAACAAAACAAUCCCCCUCCCCCCACCACCAAAGUCUUUUGUCUUAAUCAGCGCACUAAUUCUUUGGGUAAGUAAAGGGAAGAGAGCUUUUAUCUGUAUGAACUAUUUCAGCUAGCCCUGGUGAUGAAGGAAAGCUCUUCUUUUCAGAGUAAUUCCAGAUAAUAAAUGUGAAAGAAUAGUAGAAUGAAAAGAACACCACUUUGCCAUCCCAAGUGAAGUUACUGCUUCAGACAAAAAUCAUUGAGGGAUGCUGAAAGCAUUCAGUCCAUGGUUAAUAGAAAUGCAGACAGGCACCAGGCAGUUGGUAUAAUGCCCGGGGUGAUUUGUUGGUCCUCAAGGGGAAAAUGCAGAUUCACAAGGAGGGAUCCACUGGACCUUAGCCUCACUAAGGGAAGGGGGCCAGCUCCAGGUGCCAGCCGGGAGGAUGUUGUGAAGCCAGCAGCCCCACUGAGGGGUAUUCCUGUGGGAAAUCUUGAGCCUGAAUCUAAUCAAAUCUUUAACUCUAUCCUUCAGUUUACAGGAAAUAAAUGAGAAAUAACAGAAACUAGUGAAAGCAAACUAUGGGAAAGUAACCUAACCUAUCCAGCCAGUGGAACAUUUGAUGGGACCACUGAGCCCCUGUCUCCACCCACCAUUGGUAGGAAGAGCAGGGGGCUCUGAAUCCUUAUUGUAAGUAGGGGAGGAAAGGUGUGAUGCUUUCCCCCCACUCAUCAUUAGGGUCAUGGCCAACACCUCGUAACAAAAGACACGUUAACAAGAGAAAAGCCUCACAAAUGCACGCAACCAAAGUUUUAUGUGACACAGGAGCUUUCAGAAAUAAAGACCCAAAGAUCUGGGGAAACUGUAUUUUUAUGCUUAGGUUUGAUGGAGAAAGGAUAGCCAGUAGAGAUGUGAUGGAACGUAAGGGUAACGGUCAUAAACUGAGUGGGGAACCCCAGCAAGGUGUGUGUGUCAGAUUUUUCAGGACCUCCUUCCUCCUGGGUAUUGGGCAGGACCCCUCUGGAAUAAGGGUCUUCAACGGAGAAGGGAGAGAGGGACCAUUCCAGGUUUUAUGGCUUGCUUUGCAGGAAAGAGAGGGCCAUGAGACAGGAGGACCUUGUUUCUGGGCCCUUCCAAUCUCCUUUAAAGUUCCCAGCAUGCAAAAGUGCAUACUUUGAAGCAUCAGGUUCUGAGCCCAAAUAUGUCCAACAGGAUUAUAAUGGGAGCCACGCUGGAACUUCACGUUUUUAGUAGACACAUUAAACAUGUUUUUAAAAGGUCAAAUUGAUUUUAAUGAUAUAUUCUAUUUAGCCCACUAUAUCCAAAAUAUUAUUGCACCAUGUCAUCAAUAUAGAAGUUAUUAUUGAAAUAUUUUCUUUUCCUCUUUUCGUGCUAAGUUUUCAAAACCUGAUGUGCAUUUUGCAAUUAUGAUUCAUCUCAAUUCAGGUGCUAAAUUUCAUUGGCAAUACUUGAUCUAUAUUUGAAUUUCAAAAAUUACAGGUUUUAAAAGUAUAUCAGAUACCCAAGUUGUUCCAGAUAUACUGAAAAGUUUUCCAAAGCUGAAUUGACUGCCAAAAAAUUAUGUUCAUUUAACAUUUAUAUUCACCUUGACAAAAUGGGUUCAUCUUUGUAAGAACUGAUUCACUUUGAAGCAAAAACAUCCCUUUCAAAGCUACAUCACUUCAAGUUACCUCAGUUCACCUACUUGUUUCAAUUGAGUUGUAAUAACAUUGAAUUAAAAAGUGACUGCAUAAAUCGAAAAACAUGUCUUAGAUUUUGGGGUGUAAUUUUUUUUUUUUUUUGAGACAGAGUUUCGCUCUUGUCGCCCAGGCUGGAGUGCAAUGUCAUGGUCUCGGCUCAGUGCAACCUCCGCCUCCCAGGUUCAAGCGAUUCUCCUGCCUCAGCCUCCCAAGUAGCUGGGAUUACAGGCAUGCACCACCAAAUCCGGCUAAUUUUGUAUUUUUAGUAGAGAUGGGGAUUCACCACAUUGGCCAGGCUGGUCUCGAACUCCUGACCUCAAGUGAUCCACCUACCUCAGCCUCCCAAAGUGCUGGGAUUACAGGCGUGAGCCACCAUGCCCGGCAGGGUGUAAUUGUAGCUAUUCUACAUAAUGCUGUUUAUUACAAUGAAAACCUACUGCCUAUAUAUUAAUGUUAGAAACAAUCUGUAAAAUCAUUAUUAUUGACUUGUAUUCCAGCAUUUUCAAUUGCCAAUAAAUCCUCCUAUCUACCUGGGUGACAUGAAGCUUUUAAAUCAGCUCUUCCAUCUGCCAUGUGACAUUGGUGAGAAAAUGAAUCACUGCUGUGUGUUUUGAUUCUUGAGUAUUUGGGAACCUUUCCCUUUAUUUUAGGAAAUUCUUGAGCUAGAGUUAACUCCUGGCUCAGGAGUGAAGCUGCAGACUUUCACGGUGAGUGUCACAGCUCUUAAGGUGGCGUGUCUGGAGUUGUUCGCUCUUCCUGGUGGGUUCAUGGUCUCGCUGGCUUCAGGAGUGAAGCUGCAAACCUUCGCGGUGAGUGUUACAGCUCAUAAAGGCAGUGUGGACUUAAAGAGUGAGCAGUAGCAAGGUUUAUUGGAAAGAGCAAAAGAACAAAGCUUCUACAGUGUGGAAGGGGACCUGAGCGGGUUGCCACUGCUGGCUCGGGCAGCCUGCUUUUAUUCUCUUAUCUGGCCUUACCCACAUCCUGCUGAUUGGUCCAUUUUACAGAGAGCGGAGUGGUCUGUUUUGACAGGGUGCUGAUUGGUGCGUUUACAAUCCUUGAGCUAGACACAAAGGUUCUCCACCUCCCCACUGGAUUAGCUAGAUACAGAGUGUCCGACACAAAGGUUCUCCAAGUCCUUACUAGAGUAGCUAGAUACAGUGUGGAUUGGUGCAUUCACAAACCUUGAGCUAGACACAGGGUGCUGAUUGGUGUGUUUACAAACCUUGAGCCAGAUACAGAGUGCCAAUUGGUGUAUUUACAAUCCUUUAGCUAGACAUAAAGCUUCUCCAAGUCCUCACUAGUCAGGAGCCCAGCUGGCUUCACUUAGUGGAUCCUGCACCGGGGCCGCAGGUGGAGCUGCCUGCCAGUCCCGCGCCGUGCGCCUGCACUUAUCAGCCCUUGGGUGGUCGACGGGACUGGGCGCCGUGGAGCAGGGGGCGGCGCUCAUCAGGGAGGCUCGGGCCACACGGGAGCCUACGGGGGCGGGGGGAGGCUCAGGCAUGGCGGGCUGCAGGUCCUGAGCUCUGCCCCGCGGGGAGGCAGCUAAGGCCCGGCGAGAAAUCGAGCGCAGCGCCGGUGGGCCGGCACUGCUGGGGGACUUAGCACACCUUCCGCAGCCGCUGGCCCGGGUGCUAAGCCUCAUUGCCUGGGGCCGGCAGGGCGGGCCGCUCCGAGUGCAGGGCCCGCCGAGCCUACACCUACCUGGAACCUGCGCUGGCCUGCAAGCACUGCGCGCAGCCCGGGUUCCCGCCCGCGCCUCGCCCUCCACACCUCCUCGCAAGCUGAGGGAGCCGGCUCCGGCCUCGGCCAGCCCAGGAAGGGGCUCCUGCGGUGCAGCGGCGGGCUGAAGGGCUCCUCAAGUGCCGCCAAAGUGGGAGCCUAGGCAGAGGAGGCGCCGAGAGCGAGCGAAGGCUGUGAGGACUGCCAGCACGCUGUCACCUCUCAGUGGCAUUCACUCGCAUGUACUGAACUAUUUAAAAAACUGUCCAUGGGGAAGAGAUGGGGCAAGACGGCCGAAUAGAAGCCUCCACUGAUUGUCUUCCUCACAGAAACACCAAAUUUGACAACUGUCUACUCAAAAAACACCUCUAUAUGAACCGAAAAUCAGGUGAGUAUUCACAAUACCUGGUUUUAAGUUUAUAUUGGUAAAAAAGUAGGAAAGACAGCUUUGAAUUGUCUACACCGCUCUUCCCCUAUCCCCUGGCAGCUGCCCUGUGGUUCAGAGAGAAUCUGUGUGCUUGGGAAAGUACAGUAUCUGUGGGACUUUGCUUUGGAACACCGCACUGCCAACACCAGGUAGAAUUCAGCUGAUACCCAGGGAGGGAGCACCUAGACCAGCCCUAGCAGAGGGCUAUCGCCCAUCCCAGUGGUUGGAACUUGAGUGGAAAACUUUGCAUUCUCAGGGUGUUGUCCAGGCCUCUCUGGACCCAUUUCUAAAUGUGAUAUGAGAGAGGGAGUGAGUAGCCUGCUGAAGUGUGGCAUAGUUGAGGUGAAUGCGCUAUAUAACACAAUUACAUAGAUUAGCCAGAAACAUUAAACUGCAGAAUAAGAUCUGUCUAUUCUUCAGAAACCUUUCACCCACAGAAUGGUUUAAAGUUUGACUGUGUUGAAUUUGUUUGCUUGACCUCAAAGAGACUUCCACGUGGACAGCUGUGAUGAGACUGGACGUAGUCCUAGCAAGUCUGAAAGCUAGUAUUUGUGUGCCUCUAUGCCUUGGCCUGACUCCACUCUUACAGGGAGCAGGUGCAGCUUAGCAGCCUCCCCUGUCGAUCAGGCAAAGUUUGGUGUCCUUGGAUCAUUCAGCAGAAGGGGACAUUGCCUGCAAUAGUAACGAGAUACUGUCAACAAGUCCCCAGAAGGAGAGAGGGAACUGGGGCUGGCUGGGCACUGGCUCUGUUCCAUUCGUUUCACAGCUCCCUAGCCCUGACAUCUCUCAGGAGGAGGAAGAAGUUUGCCUUCACUGCAUGUCACGUUUCAAGUCAUCAAGCUCCUAAGAUGCUGAUUUGUCCCCACACAGUUCAUAAUGGCUGGAGCCACAAUUUUUUUUUUUUCUAGACGGAGUCUCGCACUGUCACCCGGGCUGGAAUGCAAUGGUGUGAUCUUGGCUCACUGCAACCUCCGCCUCCCGGUUCAAGCGAUUCUCCUGCCUCAGCCUCCUGAGUAGCUGAGAUUACAGGUGCCCGCCACCAUGCCUGGCUAAUUUUUUUUUUUGUCUUUUUAGUAGACACGGGGUUUCACUAUGUUGGCCAGGCUGGUCUCGAACUCCAGACCUCGUGAUCUGCCCACCUCAGCCUCCCAAAGUGCUGGGAUUACAGGCAUGAGCCCCCACGCCCAGCUGGAUCCACAGUUUUAACCUGUGACUGCCGAAGUGUAUACAUUUUUCUACUUUCAUGCCCUGCCAGUCCUGUGUGUGGAAAUUCAAGUUUUCCAGUGGUUUUUUGAGGUGGGAGAGGUGGGAGCAAGAGGAGGAGGAAGUUUUUCCUAAGAAGUCCAGCUCAGCUCAGACCUUUCAUGUGGCUCACACGCGUGUCUGUGUUUUCUCACUCAUGGCCAAUCGCGCCGCCUUUCAUCCAGCCCACAGCCCUGCCAAGGGCCUGCCCGUUGCCUGAGUGUAUCUGGAGUUCAAGAAAACACAAACAGAUAAGCCAUCUGCAGUGCUCACAUUCCAACUGGAGAAAUAGGCUAAAAGAGAGGGAGAGAGAAUUACUGCAUCCAAAAUUAUGCUAAUGACAGAAGGGCCAGUGGCAGAGAGCUGGGAGGGAGCCGACCUUUGAUGGUGGGUGAGGUCGCUCUUGUGGACAGGAUAAUCAGGGCACCUCUCUGAGGAGGUGACAUCUAAAUCAGGAGCAGAGGCAGAGGCAUGGGAAAGGUGCUCCAGGCAGAGGAGGCAGCAGAACAAAGGGCCCCGCAUGUCCUAGUAGCCUCAGGGAGGGAGGCUAGUAUGAGGGUUCGGCUAAAACUUGAGCUUGGAGCAACUCUGUCACCUGCAAGGACAAGGAAGCUUGAAGCGUCUGCAUGGUGGAGGCACCAGCAUCCACGACCAGCUCCAAUAUGGGAACCACAUGGUCAGCCUCUGAGAUUUUGGAAAAUCAUGCCCUUUAGGCAAACAGCUGUUUUCUUUUUGAGAAAUGUAUUUCUCCUGGGCCCUGGAAGACUAAAUGCCUGGUCCGGGGACCCCAGUGUCCUGCCUGCCCUUCACAAAAUGCUGCUCUCGGACUCGCCCAGCCAACGAGCUGAUGUACCCAGCAGGGGUCCCUCAGGAGGCAGAAGUGGAUAGGUGAUAUCCAGCAGGGGUCCCUCAGGAGGCGGAAGUGGAUAGGUGAUAUCCAGCAGGGGUCCCUCAGGAGGCAGAAGUGGAUAGGUGAUAUCCAGCAGGGGUCCCUCAGGAGGCAGAAGUGGAUAGGUGAUAUCCAGCAGGG